UGGGGAAUAUUGCACAAUGGGCGCAAGCCUGAUGCAGCCAUGCCGCGUGUAUGAAGAAGGCCUUCGGGUUGUAAAGUACUUUCAGCGGGGAGGAAGGUGUUGUGGUUAAUAACCACAGCAAUUGACGUUACCCGCAGAAGAAGCACCGGCUAACUCCGUGCCAGCAGCCGCGGUAAUACGGAGGGUGCAAGCGUUAAUCGGAAUUACUGGGCGUAAAGCGCACGCAGGCGGUCCGUCAAGUCGGAUGUGAAAUCCCCGGCGUCACCUAGGCACUGGCAUCGCAAAUCAUGGCAGGCUAGAGUCUUGUAGA
This 310-nucleotide ribosomal RNA is filed under the name uncultured Enterobacteriaceae bacterium. RNAcentral describes it as "bacterial SSU rRNA". It matches the Rfam family "Bacterial small subunit ribosomal RNA", at positions 355 to 655 of the family's 1533-position model. The record is from RNAcentral. Lineage: Bacteria; Pseudomonadati; Pseudomonadota; Gammaproteobacteria; Enterobacterales; Enterobacteriaceae.